GACGAACGCUGGCGGCGUGCUUAACACAUGCAAGUCGAACGAAGAGCGAUGGAAGCUUGCUUCUAUCAAUCUUAGUGGCGAACGGGUGAGUAACGCGUAAUCAACCUGCCCUUCAGAGGGGGACAACAGUUGGAAACGACUGCUAAUACCGCAUACGAUCUAAUCUCGGCAUCGAGGAUGGAUGAAAGGUGGCCUCUACAUGUAAGCUAUCACUGAAGGAGGGGAUUGCGUCUGAUUAGCUAGUUGGAGGGGUAACGGCCCACCAAGGCGAUGAUCAGUAGCCGGUCUGAGAGGAUGAACGGCCACAUUGGGACUGAGACACGGCCCAGACUCCUACGGGAGGCAGCAGUGGGGAAUCUUCCGCAAUGGACGAAAGUCUGACGGAGCAACGCCGCGUGAGUGAUGACGGCCUUCGGGUUGUAAAGCUCUGUUAAUCGGGACGAAAGGCCUUCUUGCGAAUAGUGAGAAGGAUUGACGGUACCGGAAUAGAAAGCCACGGCUAACUACGUG
This 510-nucleotide ribosomal RNA is filed under the name uncultured bacterium. Its description in RNAcentral is "partial 16S ribosomal RNA". It matches the Rfam family "Bacterial small subunit ribosomal RNA", at positions 28 to 507 of the family's 1533-position model. The record is from RNAcentral.